RNAcentral lists this transfer RNA (68 nucleotides) under Marmota monax (woodchuck). Its description in RNAcentral is "tRNA.Ala". Lineage: Eukaryota; Metazoa; Chordata; Mammalia; Rodentia; Sciuridae. The record is from RNAcentral.
GGAAUGUAGUUCAGUGGUAGGCUGCUUGCCUAGCAAGCAUGGAGCCCUGGGUUCCACUCCCAGAGCCA